Molecule: ribosomal RNA, 506 nt
Filed under: uncultured bacterium
Lineage: Bacteria
Description: partial 16S ribosomal RNA
Rfam family: Bacterial small subunit ribosomal RNA
Source: RNAcentral
AGUGAACGCUGGCGGUAGGCCUAACACAUGCAAGUCGAACGGCAGCACAGGAGAGCUUGCUCUCUGGGUGGCGAGUGGCGGACGGGUGGGGAAUACAUCGGAAUCUACUCUGUCGUGGGGGAUAACGUAGGGAAACUUACGCUAAUACCGCAUACGACCUACGGGUGAAAGCAGGGGACCUUCGGGCCUUGCGCGAUUGAAUGAGCCGAUGUCGGAUUAGCUAGUUGGCGGGGUAAAGGCCCACCAAGGCGACGAUCCGUAGCUGGUCUGAGAGGAUGAUCAGCCAAACUGGAACUGAGACACGGUCCAGACUCCUACGGGAGGCAGCAGUGGGGAAUAUUGGACAAUGGGCGCAAGCCUGAUCCAGCCAUACCGCGUGGGUGAAGAAGGCCUUCGGGUUGUAAAGCCCUUUUGUUGGGAAAGAAAUCCAGCUGGCUAAUACCCGGUUGGGAUGACGGUACCCAAAGAAUAAGCACCGGCUAACCUCGUGCCAGCCGCCGCCGCAG